AGCAGCCGCGGUAAUUCCAGCUCCAAUAGCGUAUAUUAAAGUUGUUGCAGUUAAAAAGCUCGUAGUUGAACUUCGGGGUUUACCCAUUGGUCAGGUUUAAUUAUCUGUACUGGUGAGAUAAAUCUCUACCUUCUGAGGAACUUUCAUGCCAUUUAUUUGGUGUGGGAGGAAAUCAGGACUGUUACUUUGAAAAAAUUAGAGUGUUUAAAGCAGGCUAACGUCUGAAUACAUUAGCAUGGAAUAAUGAAAUAGGACGGACUGAUUCUAUUUCGUUGGUUUCUAGGAUCACCGUAAUGAUUAAUAGGGAUAGUUGGAGGCAUUAGUAUUCAAUUGUCAGAGGUGAAAUUCUUGGAUUUAUUGAAGACUAACUACUGCGAAAGCAUUUGCCAAGGAUGUUUUCAUUAAUCAAGAACGAAAGUUAGGGGAUCGAAGACGAUCAGAUACCGUCGUAGUCUUAACCAUAAACUAUGCCGACUAGGGAUCGGAUGAUGUUAAUUUAAUGACUCAUUCGGCACCUUAC
This 520-nucleotide ribosomal RNA is filed under the name uncultured Glomeromycotina. RNAcentral's name for it is "SSU rRNA". It matches the Rfam family "Eukaryotic small subunit ribosomal RNA", at positions 569 to 1091 of the family's 1831-position model. Lineage: Eukaryota; Fungi; Glomeromycota. The record is from RNAcentral.